This 189-nucleotide unclassified non-coding RNA is filed under the name uncultured fungus. Its description in RNAcentral is "sequence contains ITS1". The record is from RNAcentral. Lineage: Eukaryota; Fungi.
UUGAUUUCGAUUUGUAAAUCAGACUCAGACGCAAGAGACGCAGAGUGUGUGGUUACCUCCGGGGCGGGUCUGGCGUGAACCAAGGCCACGGCCCCGAAGCAACAGAGGUCGGUACGCAAAGGGGUUGGAGGUCGGGCCCGGAGGACCCUUCACUCGGUAAUGAUCCCUCCGCAGGUUCACCUACGGAGA